This 429-nucleotide ribosomal RNA is filed under the name Gemmatimonadota bacterium. RNAcentral's name for it is "Gemmatimonadetes bacterium partial 16S ribosomal RNA". It matches the Rfam family "Bacterial small subunit ribosomal RNA", at positions 355 to 776 of the family's 1533-position model. Lineage: Bacteria; Pseudomonadati; Gemmatimonadota. The record is from RNAcentral.
UAGGGAAUCUUCGGCAAUGGACGAAAGUCUGACCGAGCAACGCCGCGUGAGUGAAGAAGGUUUUCGGAUCGUAAAACUCUGUUGUUAGAGAAGAACAAGGACGUUAGUAACUGAACGUCCCCUGACGGUAUCUAACCAGAAAGCCACGGCUAACUACGUGCCAGCAGCCGCGGUAAUACGUAGGUGGCAAGCGUUGUCCGGAUUUAUUGGGCGUAAAGCGAGCGCAGGCGGUUUCUUAAGUCUGAUGUGAAAGCCCCCGGCUCAACCGGGGAGGGUAAUUGGAAACUGGGAGACUUGAGUGCAGAAGAGGAGAGUGGAAUUCCAUGUGUAGCGGUGAAAUGCGUAGAUAUAUGGAGGAACACCAGUGGCGAAGGCGGCUCUCUGGUCUGUAAAUGACGCUGAGGCUCGAAAGCGUGGGGAGCAAACAGG